Molecule: ribosomal RNA, 267 nt
Filed under: Triticum aestivum (bread wheat)
Lineage: Eukaryota; Viridiplantae; Streptophyta; Magnoliopsida; Poales; Poaceae
Description: partial small subunit ribosomal RNA
Source: RNAcentral
AUGGCUUCAGGGUGUCCGAGUUUCGUCGCGGCCAUCAGUUCAGACACCUGUGUCACUGCGUGUGUUGCAAUCACGACCAUUUGUGUCACAACAUGCUCCGUGACCGGCCUCCUGCGCACCGUGACCCCUGCCGCACUCCUUCCUCUCCCUGAAGCCGCUCGUGCCCUCCCAAGCUUGAUAUCCUACUAUGGCGAUGAGCUCCUAUACAUCGCCGAAGUUCCAUACCCGCUCAAUGGCACCAGCAUGAGGAUGCAGCAACUAGGCUAA